RNAcentral lists this non-coding RNA (30 nucleotides) under Mus musculus (house mouse). The record is from RNAcentral. Lineage: Eukaryota; Metazoa; Chordata; Mammalia; Rodentia; Muridae.
UACCUUGAAUAUAGUUUGUCUCUUGAGCGC